UACGGAGGAUGCGAGCGUUAUCCGGAUUUAUUGGGUUUAAAGGGUGCGUAGGCGGAUCGUUAAGUCAGUGGUCAAAUUGAGGGGCUCAACCAUUGUAUGCAUUGGAAACUGGUAGACUUGAGUGCAGGAGAGGAGAGUGGAAUUCCAUGUGUAGCGGUGAAAUGCGUAGAUAUAUGGAGGAACACCGGUGGCGAAAGCGGCUCUCUGGCCUGUAACUGACACUGAGGCUCGAAAGCGUGGGGAGCAAACAGG
RNAcentral lists this ribosomal RNA (252 nucleotides) under uncultured bacterium. RNAcentral's name for it is "partial 16S ribosomal RNA". It matches the Rfam family "Bacterial small subunit ribosomal RNA", at positions 524 to 776 of the family's 1533-position model. The record is from RNAcentral.